Molecule: non-coding RNA, 101 nt
Organism: Echria macrotheca
Lineage: Eukaryota; Fungi; Ascomycota; Sordariomycetes; Sordariales; Schizotheciaceae
Source: the annotation of a GenBank genome assembly
GCCCGUGUAGCUCAAUCGGUAGAGCGUGAGACUCUUAUGGAGAUUUCCAACAUCUCCAGAUUGACAUCUCAAGGUCGCGGGUUCGACCCCCGCCAUGGGCU